AUACGAAGGGGGCUAGCGUUGUUCGGAAUCACUGGGCGUAAAGCGCGCGUAGGUGGAUCAAUUAGUUGAGGGUGAAAUCCCGGGGCUCAACCUCGGAACUGCCUUCAAUACUGUUGAUCUUGAGACCGAGAGAGGUGAGUGGAAUUCCUAGUGUAGAGGUGAAAUUCGUAGAUAUUAGGAAGAACACCAGUGGCGAAGGCGGCUCACUGGCUCGGUACUGACGCUGAGGUGCGAAAGCGUGGGGGGCAAACAGGAUUAGAUACCCUAGUAGUCC
RNAcentral lists this ribosomal RNA (274 nucleotides) under uncultured bacterium. Its description in RNAcentral is "partial 16S ribosomal RNA". It matches the Rfam family "Bacterial small subunit ribosomal RNA", at positions 523 to 796 of the family's 1533-position model. The record is from RNAcentral.